This 780-nucleotide ribosomal RNA is filed under the name Salmonella enterica subsp. enterica serovar Coeln. RNAcentral's name for it is "partial 23S ribosomal RNA". It matches the Rfam family "Bacterial large subunit ribosomal RNA", at positions 548 to 1190 of the family's 2925-position model. Lineage: Bacteria; Pseudomonadati; Pseudomonadota; Gammaproteobacteria; Enterobacterales; Enterobacteriaceae. The record is from RNAcentral.
ACCUGAAACCGUGUACGUACAAGCAGUGGGAGCCCCACCACCAAAGCAUUUGCUGUACCGCGUUGACGGAGCGAAGCGACGUCAAACCGAUAAAACAGCAGUGUAAAGUGAGCCGCAGGGCGCUUUGCGCGACAGCGCAAAGGCAGGCGGUUUCGCGUAGCGAAAGCGAAUGCUUUGGGGUGGGGUGACUGCGUACCUUUUGUAUAAUGGGUCAGCGACUUAUAUUCUGUAGCAAGGUUAACCGUAUAGGGGAGCCGUAGGGAAACCGAGUCUUAACCGGGCGUUAAGUUGCAGGGUAUAGACCCGAAACCCGGUGAUCUAGCCAUGGGCAGGUUGAAGGUUGGGUAACACUAACUGGAGGACCGAACCGACUAAUGUUGAAAAAUUAGCGGAUGACCUGUGGCUGGGGGUGAAAGGCCAAUCAAACCGGGAGAUAGCUGGUUCUCCCCGAAAGCUAUUUAGGUAGCGCCUCGUGAAUUCAUCUCCGGGGGUAGAGCACUGUUUCGGCUAGGGGGCCAUCCCGGCUUACCAACCCGAUGCAAACUGCGAAUACCGGAGAAUGUUAUCACGGGAGACACACGGCGGGUGCUAACGUCCGUCGUGAAGAGGGAAACAACCCAGACCGCCAGCUAAGGUCCCAAAGUCAUGGUUAAGUGGGAAACGAUGUGGGAAGGCCCAGACAGCCAGGAUGUUGGCUUAGAAGCAGCCAUCAUUUAAAGAAAGCGUAAUAGCUCACUGGUCGAGUCGGCCUGCGCGGAAGAUGUAACGGGGCUAAACCAU